CAAAGCAGUUCUUAUAAACAAAAAUAGGAUUUCUAUCCUGUACAGUCUUUGACGAACUUCCACAUUCUGGUCUCAAACCAUUAUUUAAACGACAUCCGCUAACUCCCUUCCCAUUACUCCCCGAGACUGCAAGAUAACGGAAAGGCAGGGAGUGGGCUUUCCCUUCCAGCAGACAAUGAAGAUAGACGUGGACUCUGGCCCCAAACAGCUGUGAGCUCUUGGGCUGACUGCCCACAGUGCUGAGCCACCGUUUCCUCUGGUGUCAAACAAGGAUGACUCCUGAAUUGUGGCAAAGCCCAGCGGCUCGGAGGGGGGCCUCCGGAGUCAGCCCCCUGGGUUUACAUCCGGUUGCACUGCUUGCUCGCCUCUGCGACCCCAGGCAGGUUAAGUAAAAUUUUUUUGCACUUCAGAGCCCUCAUCAACAAAACGAGAACAAUAUUAUGAAUUGAGGGUUACUUGAACAAAGCCAUUAGCGUGAGGUCUGCCGCAUUUUUAAGUGCUCAACGCAUUUAGCCAGCCCAAACUUUUCUCCUGAGUUCCAGACCUAUUCAGGCAGAUGUCUGGAAAGAAGAAUACGAACGCCGCUUGGAACAGAUGUUAACCUGCAGAAAGUCUUGGGUAAACGGGUCGUCCAGCACUUGAAAAAUGAAGGUGAAGAAAAAAACCCCAACAUUUUCAGAUAAAUGGAAAUUAAGGGAAUUCAUUGCCAGAAGACCUGCACUAAGAAAUGCUACCAGAUGGGAAUCCGGAUAUUCAGGAAGGAAACCAUUGGAAAUGGAAUGAAAAUGCAUUUCCAUUGGAAAUGGUUUGCACAUUCUUCAAGGCUAUGUUUAUCUUCCAAAGGAUUCUUCUGAUUCCUCCAGCUCCAGUUUUUCUCCUCCUAAACAUUUGAUGAGUUUGGAAGUUGAUGUUCUUUGUCUUUUGAAAAGCAUCCACCUGCUUUUCCUCUGGAGGAUGGAAAGACAACUGGCUCUUUUCCCAGACGACUCCAGCAAACCUCACCUGACAUCUCAGCCCAAUCACAGCCACGAGGAAGCUAACCAACAUGAUGGGAAUGGAAGAGCAGAAGAUAGAACUUGGGCUCUUGAUGACGUUGUCAUGGUGCUGAGUGGAAUAAUCCCAAAGACGUACUACCUCAGGACUCCUUGUUGUGUGAGCUAAGAAAUCCCUUUGCUGUUUCAGCUGUCUUGAGUUGAGCUGUUUCCCAAGCUGCUCCUGUUUCAUUUUCUUACUCUUCUUAUGAAACUUUGAAUGUGCCUGCAACAAAAUCCUUACUUAGGGGCCGGUUAUGGAGUAAGAGUAAGGCCUCUCUCCCUGUCACUGUGUGAGAGGUCUCACAGAGUGCAGAGUGAGAUACUCCUAGAAUGCCAGUGGGCCCCAAAGAGAGACACGGGCUCCCAUCAUAGCUAGAUUCAAAGGCAGCUUUUCUAGGUUUUGGUAGCCCACCGCAGUAGCCAAAAAUGCCCAUUGGCUUGGAGGAUUGAUGCAUGGACCCAACUUAGAAAUUGGUUCUUAGGCUCACCUUUGGUCUGGAUCUGGCUCUGAGUAACCCGCUGUGCUCUGGUGUUUUCAGGACGCCUAGAUACUAUCUGUCUGCUGUGUAAUCCUUUAUAGGAUUAGCUCAGGAGACUCAAAAUGCUCAAAACUUGCACAUUCUAAGGAAAGGCCUGGCCUUAACUAAUUCUAGCAGAUACCCUCUAGGCCCUGGGAAUAUCCUUCCUAAUGAGAGUAUCUUCAUAUAAUUGAUUCUUUGAUCCAACCCAGAUCAUCUAUGCUAAUGAUGUGAUUUAUGGGGAACAUCUGUUUUGUCUGCCUGGGGCGUUGGGCCACACUAUAUCUCUUUGACUCUUGGAGACCUGGAGACUGAGUAGUUAAGGUUAGUCAGUCACUCAGGUGCUCCUUGCCUAUGUGAGUGACCCCCAGUAAGAACCCUGGACACGCAGGCUCAGGUGGGUGCCCUGGCUGGCAAUAAGACUUUGUAUGUGACCAUCACAUGUUGCUGGAAGCAUUAAGCACAGCCUGUACAGUUCCUCUGGGGGUAGACCAAUGGAAAGAAGCUUAUGCCUGGUUUCUCCUGCUCUGUGCAUCUUCGCCUUUACUGAUUUCAAUCUGUAUUCUUUGCUGCAAAGAACAUACAUUUACCAGAUUUUCUGAGUUCUGUGAGUCCUUCUAGAGAAUCAUUGAGCCUGAGGGUGGUUUUGGGGAUCCCUGACACUCCACUACACAGAAACCUAAAACUUCUGUUGGAAUCUCUUAUAUUCUUCUUAGAGUCACAUAUCAACUCAGUAUUUUACUGGGUCAACUGAUCCUCUGGAAAGAGCCCGGGGACACGCAAGACUUGGAAUCCUCUUCUGGUUCCAUGACAUGGCAUUGACGGGGCCUUGGGGAAGUCACAGAUCUCUAAUCUGUCCUCUUUGGCCAAGUAGGGCAAUAUCUGCUCUGUCUCCUAUAAUGGGUCAUUGUGGGGGGCACAUCAGAUAAUGCACGUGACAACGUUUUGAAAAAUGUAUGGAUUUUUAAUGAUUAGAUGUUGCAUAUACUUUAAACACUUGACACAGAGGUGGAAUAUUUAGUGGCUAACACUGAGUGCUGAAUUUGUGCCAGGAACUUUAACACGUACAGGCUCAUUUAAUCCCCACUCUGGAAUCAACCUCAUGUUAUAUCUUCAAUAGAAGCUUCAUGAGGAGGAAAUAAAAUAAACUUUCCACGGUUCUAUAACUAGUAAAGAGCAAAACUAGAACUCAAACCAUAGGCGUCUGGUUGAAGAGCCCAAGCAAUCACCCAUUUUACAAUGCAGUUCUGUACUUUCAAGUGCCUCCAGUGAAUUCAGUCUCUUAAAUAUAAAACACCUUAGAGAUGUAAAAUACCAGUAACAACCUAGAAAUGAUCCCUAGACCGAGGUUACUAGAGAAAAUACACUUGUCUUACCUAAGACAAUUUUCCUUCCUUCUGGGUCAGGAUACUCAACAAGUAAACCCAUCUUGGGACACUUACAGACACACCAUCCAACAACUAACUGGAGGUUAGUUAGUUAACAGCUCUUUCCAGGGGCUCUUUCCAGGGAAUCAGUUGACCCAGCUAACAAGAGGAGGGGGGCUUGACUGCUCUUGCUCCCUUUCUCUGUUUACCCAGUUGUAUUUUGGAUAGAUUUUCCUGUUGACCUACAGCUGCCACAGUCAUGAUGAGAGGAGAAGUUUGUUAUGUCUCAUGAUGAGGGGAGAAGUCUGUUAUGUCACCUGUCAAGUGUGUGAAGCAUUUUCCACUGUCUUCUGGGAUAACUGAAAGCUUGGUUGUGAAACACAUCUUUAGUACCUCA
Molecule: long non-coding RNA, 3316 nt
Organism: Mustela lutreola (European mink)
Lineage: Eukaryota; Metazoa; Chordata; Mammalia; Carnivora; Mustelidae
Exons: 7
Source: RefSeq, a predicted model, not a curated record